This is a long non-coding RNA of Schistocerca nitens (vagrant locust), 2904 nucleotides long. RefSeq lists it as uncharacterized. The record is from RefSeq and is a predicted model, not a curated record. The transcript has 3 exons. Lineage: Eukaryota; Metazoa; Arthropoda; Insecta; Orthoptera; Acrididae.
AAAAAUUUGUAAAGAGAGACCACAGUUGUUGCAAGACAGCUCAUGGUUUCUUCAUAGUGACAAUGUGUGUGCCUGUUCAGCAGUCACAUUUCUGUCCUCCCUCAGCCACUGAUGGGCAAACCAAAAAGUGACUGAACAUCAGAGAGUAGUAGUUUGAUGGAGACAAUAGAUACACAUCAGUUUUGCCAUGAACUCCUGGGUGCCAGAAGCAAAUGCAAUUAAUCUUAUUGUUCAGUUUUAUCGUGUUGUGACAAGUCAAAUGAUGAUUUGUACCUCGCAUGAAAUGAAGAGAAACUCUCAGUAGGCAUAUUGCUAUUCAAGUGGACAGUGAUGUUGUUUCUGUCUAGUCAUGGCUACAAGAGGUUGUGUUAUUUCUCCAAACAGUUUUUAUUAUAUCUGUGGUGAAUACACUAUUAAAAGUCAACAGAGAAACAUAAGUGGUUUUCUGAGGAAAGUUUAUUUUGCUUACUUUAAAUUAAAACUUAGUGAUGAAGGUAAACCAUGGGCCCCGCAUAAGGUGUGUAGAAGACGUGAAGAAGAUCUUUAUUUGUGGUUUAAGGGUAAGAAAAAUGCAUUUCAAUUUGGAAUUCCUAUGAUAUGGUGUGAGCAGAAAAACCAUACCACUGAUUGCUACUUCUGUUCAGCUGAUGAAAAGGGAUUCAAUUCAAAAAACAAAAGAAGCAUAAGUUAUCCUAAUCUUGACUCAGCUAUACAUCCAGUGCCCCAUAGCUCUGAAAUACCUAUCCUACAGCCACCUUCCAGUUUGGAUGAAUACCCGUGUGAGUUGGAGGAUGAAGUUACGAGGCAUGUUUUUUAAGUAAGUACCGUUUUGAAAUUUAAAAAAGACGUGCUAAGAUAUCUCAAUAAUUUUAUUUUUAUAUGAAAGCCUGCACCUUAAUCUAUGCACUGACACCAUUACAGUCUGAUUCUUCCUUGUUUACAUUGUGUAUUGAAUGUUUAAGAUGCCUCCGAUAAUCAUGAGUCCCGUCGACUGUGAAGUACGGGCUGUUAUAAGAUUUCUUAGUGCUAAAGGCCUAAAAGCGAUCAAUAUUCAUUGUGAGAUCUGUGCAGUUUACAGAGAAAACAUUACGAGUGAUGCAAUGGUAAGAAAGUGGGUGAGAGCUUUUAAAGAUGGCCGCACAAAUGUGCAUCAUGAACAAUGGAGUGGGCGUCCUUCGGUCGUUAAUGAAAGUUUGUUGCAGGAAGUGGACAAUAAGGUGAGAGGAAACACACACUUUAUGAUUUCCUCCUUGCGGGAUGACUUUCCUAAUGUUUCUCAUAGUGUUUUGUAUGGCAUUGUGACAGAGCACUUGAAUUACCGAAAAUUGUGCGCACGCUGGGUACCGAAAUGUUGACUGAUGUGUACAAAAUCAAAAGUUUAGACAGUCCAUUGACUUUCCUUGAGCAGUACCACAACAACGGUGGUGAUUUCUUAAGCCAAAUUGUUACGGGCGAUGAAACAUGGGUGGCCUACGUCACACCAGAAUCAAAGCAACAGUCCAUGGAAGUUGAGCAAGGGCAUCGUUUUGCUGCAAGACAAUGCCCGUCCGCAUGUGGCGAAUCAGACCAAAGAUCUCAUCACAUCUUUUCGAUGGGAAACUCUACAUCAUCCUUCGUACAGCCCCAAUCUUGCGCCCAGUGACUACCAUCUGUUCCUGCACUUGAAGAAACACCUGGGCGGUCAGCGUCUUCAAGACGAUGAUGAAGUCAAAACAGUGGUGAUGCGGUGGUUAACAAGUCAGGUGGCAGACUUCUAUGAGGAGGGUAUUCAAAAACUGGUACAAUGUUAUGACAAGUGCCUCAAUAUUGACAGAAAUUAUGUAGAAAAGUAGAUUAAGGUACAGGCUUUUCUGUAAAAAUAAAAUUAUUGAGAUAUCUUAGCACAUCUUUUUUUAAUUUCAAAACGGUACUUACUUAAAAAACACGCCUCGUAUAUUACCUCCUCAGGGUGGAUCAAGCUCAGAUUUUUCUUCAGAUGCAGAUGAAAGGCAUCAACUAUUUUCUCAAAGUGAGGUCAAUUAUCUAGUAAGAGAUUUAGGUCUUUCAAUAGAUGCAGCCCCAAACUGUUAGGUUCCAGAUUAAAAAAUAAAAACCUUUUAUCAUCUGGCACCACAUUUUCAUGGUACUGACACUGAGAAAAAGAAUUUACCCAGUUUUUCUCAAAAUAAGGAAAUUUAGUUUUUUGCAAUGAUGUGGAAGGAGUAUAUAGAAGGUCUAUACAAGGGCGAUGUACUUGAGGACAAUAUUAUGGAAACAGAAGAGGACGUAGAUGAAGAUGGAAUGGGAGAUACGAUACUGCGUGAAGAGUUUGACAGAGCACUGAAAGACCUGAGUCGAAACAAGGCCCCCGGAGUAGACAACAUUCCAUUGGAACUACUGACGGCCUUGGGAGAACCAGUUCUGACAAAACUCUACCAUCUGGUGAGCAAGAUGUAUGAAACAGGCGAAAUACCCUCAGACUUCAAGGAGAAUAUAAUAAUUCCAAUCCCAAAGAAAGCAGGUGUUGACAGAUGUGAAAAUUACCAAACUAUCAGUUUAAUAAGUCACAGCUGCAAAAUACUAACUCGAAUUCUUUACAGACGAAUGGAAAAACUAGUAGAAGCCGACCUCGGGGAAGAUCAGUUUGGAUUCCGUAGAAAUGUUGGAACACGUGAGGCAAUACUCACCCUACGACUCAUCUUAGAGGCUAGAUUAAGGAAGGGCAAACCUACGUUUCUAGCAUUUGUAGACUUAGAGAAAGCUUUUGACAAUGUUGACUGGAAUAUUCUUUUUCAAAUUCUGAAGGUGGCAGGGGUAAAAUACAGGGAGUGAAAGGCUAUUUACAAUUUGUACAGAAACCAGAUGGCAGUUAUAAGAAUCGAGGGGCAUGAAAGGGAAGCAGUGGUUGGGAAGGGAGUGAGACAG